Molecule: ribosomal RNA, 492 nt
Filed under: uncultured bacterium
Lineage: Bacteria
Description: partial 16S ribosomal RNA
Rfam family: Bacterial small subunit ribosomal RNA
Source: RNAcentral
ACUCAAAUGAAUUGACGGGAGCCUACACAAGCGGUGGAGCAUGUGGUUUAAUUCGAUAAUACGCGCAGAACCUUACCAAUUCUUGUUAAUUUUUUUAAAAAUUUUAAAUUUAAAAAAAACAGGUGUUGCAUGGCUGUCGUCAGCUCGUGUUGUGAAAUGUUUGGUUAAUUCCUUUAACGAGCGCAACCCCUAUUUUUAGUUGCUAAUUUAUUAAAUUUAAUAAAUGCACUCUAAAAAGAACGUCAAUGAUAGGUUGAAGGAAGGUGGGGAUGACGUCAAGUCCUCAUGGCCCUUAUGGAUUGGGCUACACACGUGCUACAAUGAUAAUGACAAUGAGAGGCAAUAAUGAUUUAAAAAUUGGAGCAAAUCUUUAAAAAUUAUCUAAGUUCGGAUUAAGGGCUGCAACUCGCCCUUAUAAAGUUGGAAUCGCUAGUAAUCGCAAAACAGCAUGUUGCGGUGAAUAUGUUACUAGGCUUUGUACACACCGCCCGU